This is an RNA transcript of Mytilus trossulus (common blue mussel), 3058 nucleotides long. It is a transcript of the gene named cilium assembly protein DZIP1L-like, with no coding region annotated. The record is from RefSeq and is a predicted model, not a curated record. The transcript has 23 exons. NCBI's taxonomy places the organism in Eukaryota, Metazoa, Mollusca, Bivalvia, Mytilida, Mytilidae.
UUCAAAUCACGUUAGAUGCGAGACGAAUUCCAACAUGGUUGACUUUCAAUUUUAUUUUUGUUGACAUUUGUCAACCUUUCUUUUUAUUGCUUUUCAUAUGAUUAUAUCAGUACUGUGUUGUCCAAAACAACUAAAUCAGUCGAAAUUUUAAUCAGAAAUUUCAAGAUGCACGCUGUACGUCUAUGAUUAAGGGACACGAUUAAAAUUACCUGCUCAAAGUGAUUGAUUAGACAGGUAAACAGCAAAUUGAAGAUCGAUUUUGGGACAGGACACCAUGGCAACACAAAUGAUGUAUUCUCCGAUGCCUGACCACUCAGUUUCUUAUAUGAAUGGAUAUCCUAACAAUAAUGCAUCAAAAAUGGGAAAUGGGAAAAGUUUUGCAUUUAGAAAAAGAUAUGAAAGAGUGGAUUGGAGAAAGAUUUCCUCUGUUGAUCUUGAUCAUAUCUCAAGGACUUUAGAUUUUAAUGCCCUACAGGAAAACAUUUUAAACAUAACAUUUUGCAAUAUAGAAUCUGAAAUGGAUUUGCGGAUGAUUGAUCCAAACUUUGUAAAGCUUUUCAAACUAGCACAGUUGACUAUAGAAUAUUUAUUGCAUUCACAGGAGUAUUUGACAGGUGUCGUAGGAUCUGCUGAAGAGAAAAUCAAAGCUGCUCAAGAGGAAAGUACCAAAACCAAGGAAGAACUAGAAAAGCAGAAGAAAGAACUUGCUGAUGUUAAGAAAGAAAGUCAUAAAAGGAAGAAACUUUUAAUAGCUCAGCAACAUUUAAUACAUGCUGGAUCUGGAAGUUAUAACAAGUGCCAAUAUUGCUCUAAAGCUUUCCUGAAUAGCACAUUUUUACAGUCUCACAUAAUGAGACGCCAUGGGGAGUAUUCUGGGAAAGCAGCAUCUGUAGCUGUUACCCCUAACGACAGACAGAUUAUGGCAGAAUCACCGGGUUUGAGGGAUCUCCAACAGAGAUUGGAGGCUACUGAGGCACAACUGCAACAAGAACGCAUGUCUAAAUCAGAGGUUGUUAGGAAGUCUGAAACAACUUUAACAAGGAAUGUCAUCUCUACAGACCUUAACCGAACUGAGGAACACAAGGAACAGUUAGAAAGAAUGAAAGGCCAGUUUAUGACCGAAAUACGGGAACUGAAUGAAAGACUUCAUGCUGCAGAACUUGCCAAAGAUCAGUUUGACCACAGACAGAGUAAUCGAUCAUUUCUAGGGGAGCUUACGGACGACAAUGAUAUUGAAAGGGAAAACUUAAGAGAUCAAAGAGAACAACUUGCUAUGUUGAAAGAACAGUUACAAGACAAGAUUCAGGUUAUGGAAGGAAAAGUGCAUAGGAAAUUUGGUAAAAAAGAAAAAAAUUACCAGAAGACCAUUCAAGAACUAAAUCGACAACAUGCUGAUGAUCUUAGAAAGUUAAAUGAUGCUCUUCAGAAAACUACCCAUGCUCUUGCUGUCAGUAAAGCACCUCUCAACAAGAGACAACAUGAAGAAAAUGAAGCUUUACUUAGAAGUUCAAGGGAAAUAGAAAUCAAAUUAAGACACAGUGCAGAAGCUGAAACUAUAGAGGAAAUGAUAGCAGCAGAGCAAGCCACAAUGGGAGCCUCAACUAAAGUGACACAGAUGCAUAUGGAACCUAGUGACGAUGAAGAUGAGGAAACAGAACCGGGUACACUUAAUUCUGGAACAGGGACAGGAAGUUAUGGUACAGGGAGACAAUCCAUGAUUAGUACCAUGGGAACUUACAGAAGUGGAGAGAUCACUCUUAAGACACAACAGUUCUUAGAAGAACUACGAAAGAACCCAACACUAAAGAUAAUGAGGGAUGAACUGGAACAACUGUUACAAGAACAGCUCGAGAAAAUAGGUGUUCCACCUGAAACAAGAGGAUUACCAGUGGACAUCUUACGGAAUAAACUACAAAUACUAAGAGGAAGGAGACAAACAACCCAACAGAAAUACCCAGUGUUCUCAGACUUCCGUAGACAGUAUGAUGCUGCAGCAGAAGAACAAGCCAGAGAAAAACUAAAACAAAUGAAGAGAUCUCCUCCACCAGCUCCAAGAAGCCAUAUGCCACCUAGACCUAAUCCUAGUGCUUCAUUACCUCGAUCUCAGCCAUCUGGUGGUACAGCUUCAAUGUUUCUAGCCUCUCCAGCUAGAACACCUGGAACCUCACCACAGAGACCAGGCCCUGGAACUUCACCACAGAGACAACCAAUAUCUAGUCAGCAACGUACACCUCAACCGGUCCAGAGUCAACAACUACCUAAGGCAGCACCUAGAGUGGCAAGUCCACAGAGAACUGGACAGUCAGGUUCUAGUAUUGACUGGACCAGCACACAGUGGGAAUCAGAUGAUGAUGAUGAUGAGAGUGAGAACCAACCGGCAUUCCAGCAAGUACGACAUGUGCCAUCUAGUCCUGCCCGCCAACCACAGCAACAUACACAACCUGUGGCAGCACCUAGGUCACAGGUCAUAAUGUCUAAACCACUGGCAAAUGAUGGUGAUGAUGACUGGGACGACUCAGAAGAUAUGAGUGAACUAGGUCCGAAAGCAAGUACUGCACCUGUGAGAAGGACACCUCAACAACAAAGUUAUGGAAUGUCGACAUCCCCUGCUCAAGGUCAAAAGGUUGCAGAAUUAUCAAGAACUAUUGAGCACCAGUUAGCUGGAAGAAAAGAUAACCAGAAAAGAGCAGGUGCUGUUGACAUCAUGGGACUAGGUAGUCCAUCUAAAUCUUCUAAACAACCAGAUGUUUUGGAUGAUUUUUCUGAUAGUGACUGGGAUGUCUCUCCAGUUGAAGAUGAAUCUCCCCAAAAGAAACAACAACCAGUGAAGUAACCAGCAUCAUCUGUAAGAGGGAGUCAUGCAACUGAUACAUCAAAUACAUAUGGUACCAGUGUAUGGGGAUCAUCAUCAAAAGGUGGCAGUACUGUACCCCCAGCAGGAAGUAAAGAAAGAACAUCAUUCGUCAGUGUAACAGAUGUCAGCUCAGACGAAGAACUCAUGAGGGAUAUAGAAAAUAUAUAGUUGAUAUCAAAAUGCAGAAUUAUUUUUAUUUUUAAA